GACAGACACACGAUGCCUCUCCCUGC
RNAcentral lists this non-coding RNA (26 nucleotides) under Rattus norvegicus (Norway rat). The record is from RNAcentral. Lineage: Eukaryota; Metazoa; Chordata; Mammalia; Rodentia; Muridae.